CAGCCGCCGCGGUAGUACGAAGGGUGCAAGCGUUAAUCGGAAUUACUGGGCGUAAAGCGUGCGUAGGCGGUGAGUUAAGUCUGCUGUGAAAUCCCCGGGCUCAACCUGGGAAUGGCAGUGGAUACUGGCUCGCUAGAGUGUGUCAGAGGAUGGUGGAAUUCCCGGUGUAGCGGUGAAAUGCGUAGAGAUCGGGAGGAACAUCAGUGGCGAAGGCGGCCAUCUGGGACAACACUGACGCUGAGGCACGAAAGCGUGGGGAGCAAACAGGAUUAGAUACCCCCGUAGUCCCUGUCUCUUAUAC
RNAcentral lists this ribosomal RNA (301 nucleotides) under uncultured bacterium. RNAcentral describes it as "partial 16S ribosomal RNA". It matches the Rfam family "Bacterial small subunit ribosomal RNA", at positions 509 to 807 of the family's 1533-position model. The record is from RNAcentral.